Molecule: ribosomal RNA, 60 nt
Filed under: uncultured bacterium
Lineage: Bacteria
Description: partial 16S ribosomal RNA
Source: RNAcentral
AGGCCUUGACAUCCUCGGAACUUUCCAGAAAUGGAUUGGUGCCUUCGGGAACGCAGUGAC